CUGAUGUGCAGAGCCAGAACAAAUACAAGGAGGACGGGAAGAAGAGCCGCUCUCAGAGUUUAUACUCUCAGCUCCCAGAAACAGCAGAGACUCAAUUUGCUAAGACUGUGUCUGAGCUGCAGAGUGAGAUGAGAUACAAAGAAGCGGGAAAGAAAGGAACGACGAGCUGUUUGUACUCGACUCUACCCGAGACUCUGGAGACUCAACACGCUAAAGA
Long non-coding RNA from Scomber scombrus (Atlantic mackerel), 217 nucleotides. RefSeq lists it as uncharacterized. The record is from RefSeq and is a predicted model, not a curated record. Lineage: Eukaryota; Metazoa; Chordata; Actinopteri; Scombriformes; Scombridae. The transcript has 3 exons.